GAAGAAUUAAGAUCCCGCAUGCCUCAAGGUGCAGCCAAAAAAAUAAAAGAAAAAGGAAACUGGAUGUAUUCUCUCACUCAUUCAUUCCUUCGGACACUUAGUGAGCUUUUAUGUUAUCCACCUAACUGCUGGGAAGACCUCAGUGAACAAGACAUUGGUACUCCUGGUUCUUGAGAUUUGGGACUCAGAUCGGGACUCACACCAUCGGUUCCCUAAUUCUCAGGCCUUUGGACUCGGACUGAAUUACACCACUGGCUUUCCUGGUUCUCCAGCUUGCAGAUGGAAGAUUAUGGGACCUCUCUGCUUCCAUAACCAGAUGCAGAAACUGAGGUACAGAAAGGUGACUAGGCCAAGGUCACACACUUCAUAUGUGGUAACGGAUACAGACCACCAACAAAUCCCACGUGGAAGAAUAUUUUCAGGAUGCUGGUCCCCAAGAUUGGUCUUCCAAAGACAGUUAGGAGCAUAACUGCAUACCUUCUAAGCUGCAAACAGCACCAAGUAUGAGUAAGUUGCAAAGCAACAAGAAAACACAACAUAAAACCUUACAAGGUGGAAAUCAAUUGUACUUUUGGAUGGUUUAUGCCUAUAAUCAUGGUUCUUAGGUGAUUUAUUCAUAACAAAAAUGUCUCCCAUUUCUCCAUUUUGAAGAACUGAGAGAAAAAAAUUUUCCAGGCACACUUCAAGCCUCAGACACAUUCUGAAGACCUUUGGGGUCAGUCUGACCCUACUUCUUUAAUUUCUUGUGAAAAUCUUUUUAAUUGUCUGUGUUUCUCUUUGGAAGGAGAAUAAAGUGUUGCAUGGUAGGUACUCCUGGCCCUUUCUUUCUCAGGCAAAAUAUGUGCCACAGAGCUGCUUCCUGCAGUUGUGUUAUCUAAAUGA
Molecule: non-coding RNA, 882 nt
Organism: Delphinapterus leucas (beluga whale)
Lineage: Eukaryota; Metazoa; Chordata; Mammalia; Artiodactyla; Monodontidae
Source: RefSeq, a predicted model, not a curated record